UAAUACUAGCGGUCCAAGUCGCAGCCAUUUUUAUUGGGUCUAAAACAUCCGUAGCUUGCUUGAUAAGUUUCUUGUGAAAUCUGAUAUCUCAAAUAUUGGGCGUGCAAGAAGUACUGUCAAGCUAGAGACUGGGAGACGUGAGAGGUACGUUCGAAGUAGCGGUAAAAUGUGUUAAUCUCGAGCGGACUCACAAUAGCGAAGGCAUCUCACGAGAACAGUUCUGACAGUAAGGGAUGAAGGCUAGGGGCGCAAAACGGAUUAGAUACCCGUGUAGUCCUAGCAGUAAACACUGCACACUAAACAUCAGUACCUCUUCGGGAGGUAUUGGUGCUGAAGGGAAGCCGAAGAGUGUGCUACCUGGGAAGUAUAGUCGCAAGGCCG
RNAcentral lists this ribosomal RNA (381 nucleotides) under uncultured Halobacteria archaeon. RNAcentral's name for it is "bacterial SSU rRNA". It matches the Rfam family "Archaeal small subunit ribosomal RNA", at positions 471 to 851 of the family's 1478-position model. Lineage: Archaea; Methanobacteriati; Methanobacteriota; Halobacteria. The record is from RNAcentral.